This 791-nucleotide ribosomal RNA is filed under the name uncultured bacterium. RNAcentral's name for it is "bacterial SSU rRNA". It matches the Rfam family "Bacterial small subunit ribosomal RNA", at positions 8 to 796 of the family's 1533-position model. The record is from RNAcentral.
AGAGUUUGAUCAUGGCUCAGAUUGAACGCUGGCGGCAGGCCUAACACAUGCAAGUCGAGCGGUAGAGAGAAGCUUGCUUCUCUUGAGAGCGGCGGACGGGUGAGUAAUGCCUAGGAAUCUGCCUGGUAGUGGGGGAUAACGCUCGGAAACGGACGCUAAUACCGCAUACGUCCUACGGGAGAAAGCAGGGGACCUUCGGGCCUUGCGCUAUCAGAUGAGCCUAGGUCGGAUUAGCUAGUUGGUGAGGUAAUGGCUCACCAAGGCGACGAUCCGUAACUGGUCUGAGAGGAUGAUCAGUCACACUGGAACUGAGACACGGUCCAGACUCCUACGGGAGGCAGCAGUGGGGAAUAUUGGACAAUGGGCGAAAGCCUGAUCCAGCCAUGCCGCGUGUGUGAAGAAGGUCUUCGGAUUGUAAAGCACUUUAAGUUGGGAGGAAGGGCAUUAACCUAAUACGUUGGUGUCUUGACGUUACCGACAGAAUAAGCACCGGCUAACUCUGUGCCAGCAGCCGCGGUAAUACAGAGGGUGCAAGCGUUAAUCGGAAUUACUGGGCGUAAAGCGCGCGUAGGUGGUUUGUUAAGUUGGAUGUGAAAUCCCCGGGCUCAACCUGGGAACUGCAUUCAAAACUGACAAGCUAGAGUAUGGUAGAGGGUGGUGGAAUUUCCUGUAGCGGUGAAAUGCGUAGAUAUAGGAAGGAACACCAGUGGCGAAGGCGACCACCUGGACUGAUACUGACACUGAGGUGCGAAAGCGUGGGGAGCAAACAGGAUUAGAUACCCUAGUAGUCC